Molecule: ribosomal RNA, 1197 nt
Filed under: Triticum aestivum (bread wheat)
Lineage: Eukaryota; Viridiplantae; Streptophyta; Magnoliopsida; Poales; Poaceae
Description: partial small subunit ribosomal RNA
Source: RNAcentral
AUGGCCACUGAAUUUUUCAAAGAGCUUUACAAGGCGGAUAACAAUCUAAAUCCAGAGGCAUUGCUCAACCUCUUUUCGGCCAAAGUGACACCUGAGAUGAAUGAUCAGCUAUGCAGUGAGUUUACUGAGAAAGAAAUUAGUGAUGCAUUAUUCCAAAUUGGGCGUUUAAAAGCACCGGGUGUUGAUGGUUUUCCGGCUCGUUUUUAUCAGAGAAAUUGGUCUUUUAUGCGGGAUGAUGUAGUUGCUGCAGUAAAGGAGUUCUUUGUGAAUGGAGUUAUGCCUGAGGGCAUAAAUGACACGGUCAUCGUUCUCAUACCUAAGGGUAACGCGCCGGAGUGCCUUAAAGAUUUUCGUCCAAUAAGCCUUUGCAAUGUCAUUUACAAGGUGAUAUCCAAGUGCCUCGUCAACCGAUUGCGGCCUUUCCUCGAUGAGCUUGUGUCUGAAAGUCAAAGCGCAUUUAUCCCGGGAAGGAUGAUAACUGACAAUGCCAGCAUCGCUUUCGAGUGCUUCUAUAAGAUCCAACAGAGCAAAAUCUCCCAGAACACUCACUGCGCUUAUAAGUUAGACCUGACCAAGGCUUAUGAUCGCGUCGAUUGGAAGUUUCUGGAAGGUGCCUUGUCCAAGUUUGGCUUCUGCCAAAAAUGGAUAUCGUGGGUUAUGACUUGUGUUCGCUCAGUGAGAUAUGCGGUGAGGAUGAACGGGGAAAUUCUGGAGUUCUUUUACCCUACGAGGGGCUUGAGGCAGGGUGACCCACUAAGCCCUUACUUGUUCCUCUUUGUGGCUGAGGGUCUCUCCAUGGCCCUGGAAAAGCAGUGUGAAGUUGGACACAUUACCCCAAUUAAAGUGGCCAGGGGAAGCCCAGGGAUCUCGCAUUUGUUGUUCGUAGACGAUAGUUUGCUCUUCUUCAAGGCUUCGGAAGCUCAAGCUCGAAGUGUGAAAGAUGCUCUAUCUUUAUUCCAGCAAGGUACUGGUCAAUGUCUUAGCCCCGGAAAAUGCUCUAUUUUGUUUAGUCAGGCGUGUCCAGAAAUGGUCAGGAAGGCUAUUUCUAGUACCUUGGAUAUUACAACUUCUACUUUUGAGGAGAAAUAUUUGGGCCUUCCAACCCCUGAAGGCCGCAUGAAAGGUGAACAUUUUCAACCCAUUUCAGCUCGUUUCACUAAAAGGCUUACAAACUGGGCUGAGAGGUUCAUGUCUCAU